CGCGCGGUUCUAUUUUGUUGGUUUCUAGGACCGCCGUAAUGAUUAAUAGGGACAGUCGGGGGCGUCAGUAUUCAAUUGUCAGAGGUGAAAUUCUUGGAUUUAUUGAAGACUAACUACUGCGAAGGCAUUCGUCAAGGAUGUUUUCAUUAAUCAGGAACGAAAGUUAGGGGAUCGAAGACGAUCAGAUACCGUCGUAGUCUUAACCGUAAACUAUUAAGUCUAGGGAUCGGACGGUGUUAUUUUUUGACCCGUCCGGCACCUUACACGAAAGUAUAAGAGCUUAUUCUGGGGAAAUACGGUAGCAAUACUGAAACUUAAAGAAAUUGACGGAAGGGCACACCAGGGGUGGAGCCUGCGGCUUAAUUUGACUCAACACGGGGAAACUCACCAGGUCCAGACACAACGAGGAUUGACAGAUUGAGAGCUCUUUCUUGAUUUUGUGGGUGGUGGUGCAUGGCCGUUCUUAGUUGGUGGAGUGAUUUGUCUGCUUAAUUGCGAUAACGAACGAGACCUUAACCUGCUAAAUAGCCCGCAUCGCUUUGGCGGUGCGCCGGCUUCUUAGAGGGACUAUCGGCUCAAGCCGAUGGAAGUUUGAGGCAAUAACAGGUCUGUGAUGCCCUUAGAUGUUCUGGGCCGCACGCGCGCUACACUGACACAGCCAGCGAGUCCUUCCUUGGCCGAAAGGCCCGGGUAAUCUUGUUAAACUGUGUCGUGC
RNAcentral lists this ribosomal RNA (715 nucleotides) under uncultured fungus. Its description in RNAcentral is "SSU rRNA". It matches the Rfam family "Eukaryotic small subunit ribosomal RNA", at positions 827 to 1570 of the family's 1831-position model. The record is from RNAcentral. Lineage: Eukaryota; Fungi.